GAUCCCUAAUUUCUAUUUCCCUCAGAUUUCGCAUUGCAUGUCUUCCUAUUUGCAUGUACUCUAGCAGAUUUCGGCCAAGACACCUGCAGUACUCUAGCAGAUUAGCACAUAGAAAUAGGAGUACCAUUAUAUUAGCUGUUUGCAAGCUUUGUAUAUUGUAUAGCCUAUUUAUCUGUAAUUGACUAAUUAUAAAAUAGUAUAAGCCUGUUGAGGAAGACGGACGCUGAGGGCAUCAGCCAAUCUCAAGUCUUUGGCACCUAGGCCUGUGUAGGAUGCCGAGACAGUUUCGUCGGUGGCGUGUGGACCUGUCUGCGACGACCACAUCUCUCCUCUAUCUCUCACAUGUGGAGGCCAGGCCGCAAAGUUUUCAUCACGCUAGGAUUCCUCAUGCAUCGGGCCGCUGGAGCCGCCGCUUCCCACCUACCGGCGCUGUUGUUGCUCGCUUACUGGCGCCGCCCUGUGGCGGUCCCUGCCUCCUGCGUUUCUCUACAGUCGGAGCUCCCCUACCCGCAAGCGUUUCGCCGCUGCUCGAUCUUGCCCGCACGCAUCCCAGCGCCUCUCCCCGCGCCCGGCCUCCCCCCCCCCCCCCCCCAUCUGCAUCCUCUGCACCGACCCGGCUCCACCACAUGCUUCACCAGCGCCCGAGCAGCCAGGUCAUCCCUUCACCGCCGAGGCCUUGUGUGUUCCUGGUUUUGUGGUUGGUCGUGUGUUCAGCUUGAUUGCCAGCGGUGGCUCUAGGCUCGGUCGCUGCAGCGCCGGGCCGCUGGUGGCCAUUGAGUUUGCUCGAGAAUUGAUGUUUCCUUGCACUGAGGGUUUUUCAGAUUGUAGACAUCCACGCGAGUGAGUCUAUUAGUCGUCGAUAGUAGCCUUCAAGAUGCACCUUAUGUCUUCAGUCUGGUUCAAGACACAAAAUGAACCACCAAUCUGAUGGACUAAAGGUUACCUUCAAUACAAUUUCAGUCAUUUGUUUGACAGGUUUUGAAAAGCUUCGGCAGCUUCAAAUUAACUGAAGUUCCAGUUUAAGAAAUAAUAAGCUAGCUAAAAGAAAGUAAAGCAUUUGCAAUAUUAUUACCAACUAUAAAGUUGUAUUCUGAACAAAAAAUCUACCAUGCUCGCUGAUUCAUACAGCUUCGCAGCAUAUUACUACCAGUCUACCAGAAGUUUGUUGCUCAAGAACUGGCCUGUAGGAGCUGUCACAAACUGAGGUUCCGGUGCAUGCCAAGCUACGCCACGAGUAUCUCCAGCAGCCAGUGGGUCGUGCUUGUGCACGACAAGCCGUCGCUGCAGAGGAUGGUUUCACGGCGUUUCUAAUUCUUCCUUCAUUAAACAAUGAGAUAUAAGUUGGAAGUGGAGCAGAACCUGGACACGGUGCUUAGGUUCUAGAAUGAAUUUGUUUGUGGGGGCAGAAAGAUGUGUAUCAAGGUGUAAGAAGAUGAUCAUCAAGUCUCGGAGGUGACAAAAGUAUGUGGUAUGUACUACAUGCAUGCAGAAAUAAAAUGCAUUGACUAUUUAAGCUUCUCUGAUUCGUUUGUUAUUUCUGAUGGAACAUAAAAAUACUUCAAAAAAUGACUAUAAUUUGCGCUGGAGAUAAGGUUGUGAUGAAAAGGAACUUGCGGGUGACGGAUGCUAGGUCAUCUACAGAUGUACAUGUAUUCUCUGUUCAUGGUUACCUCUUCAGCGGGCGGAGAACCGAGACCUAUUUACGGAGGUCUGUACACGGUUGGAGGCUACGGUGAGGGAUACUUUUUCCCUACAUGAGUGACAGCAUAGUCUACGGAUUGAAGCUCCACCCUCUCCUUAGGCGUUAUAUAAUUCAUCGUUUCGACAUGUAUUUCGCCUUUUUUUCAUAUUUGGUUCCAGAAACUAGAACAUGUGUGUGCAUCCUGGUUAUGCAGAGGCUGGAUGUAAUUGCUUAUCACAAGUAAUAAAGCAUUCUUUAUCGAAAAAAAAUGAGCCGUACUUUGAAGAUAUACAUGAUCUAAAAAAAUUUCCCGUUGUAAUGAUGCGGCAUUAAGCCCAUACAUGUGCUGGCUCUACCAGAUAGCUAUGGUGUCUAAGAUAUGUGUUAAUCCUGCUAAUCCAGAUAUAUUGUCUUUUCAAAUAGGUGUUCUAUUUUUCUUACAAGAUCGGAGUUUAUUCUCUGUUGCAAUAUUGCUUUGAGGAUGAUGGAAAAAACAUUAUUUUUGGUAGAAUUAUUGGAGUGAAGUGUUCUGUUGAGUGGAUUGCUAAAAGAAGGGCAGUGAUUUGAGUCUACAAAAAUGGAGCCUGCUACUGUGGCUUAUCUGUAUAAGAUCAUAUCGCACAAAGCAGUAAUAAUAAGUGGUUUAUAGGAUUUGUUUUCCUAAAUUGUGAUCUAAUUUGUGGAACACAGUCUUUUUGCUCCAAGAUUAGUGACCAGGCUAUGGCACCAAAAGAAGUACGAAACCUCCCAGACUUGAUGAUCAUCUUCUUAUAGCUGGCUCCAAGAUUACGAUCUUUUUGCUCCAAGAUUAAUUUGUGGAACACGAUCUUUUUGCUCCAGAAAGAAGUGGUACAGUUUGUAUGUUUUUUUUCUUUUGACUCAGAAGAGGUUGGGUCGACAAUCUAUCAGUACUACAGUGUAUCUUGAUAUGGAACAACAAACCCAUGUUUCUUUUGUAUCUGCUACUUGCUGAGGUAUGACCGAGGAUCAGAGUUAAAAAAUGUUGGCAUUGAUCCAGAGUGAAUUGGUCAUAUAAAGCUUGGAGCGUGAUGUAGUGUUGUUUCAAAAAUAUUGUGUGAAUGAAUGGGAGUGUUGUGGUUCUCACC
Molecule: long non-coding RNA, 2787 nt
Organism: Lolium perenne
Lineage: Eukaryota; Viridiplantae; Streptophyta; Magnoliopsida; Poales; Poaceae
Source: RefSeq, a predicted model, not a curated record